UCUUUAAAUGUGGACUAGUAUGAAUGGCACCACGAAGGUUAUACUGUCUCCUUUUUUUAAUCAGUGAAACUAAUUUCCCCGUGAAGAAGCGAGGAUAUAUUUAUAAGACGAGAAGACCCUAUGGAGCUUUAAACAACACAGCAAUUACCCACUAAACUACAAGGUUUCUGAACAUUUUUAAUCUUUUAAGUAAUCUGACUGCAAGUUUUUGGUUGGGGUGACCACGGAGCAUAACACAACCUCCAUGUUGAAAGAAUUUUNNUUCUAAACCAAGAACAACCUUUCUAAGCAUCAAUAUAUUGACAUCCAUUGACCCAAUACAUUUGACCAACGAACCAAGUUACCCUAGGGAUAACAGCGCAAUCCACUUCAAGAGCUCCUAUCGACAAGUGGGUUUACGACCUCGAUGUUGGAUCAGGGUAUCCCAGUGGUGCAGCCGCUACUAAAGGUUCGUUUGUUCAACGAUUAAAACCCUACGUGA
Molecule: ribosomal RNA, 481 nt
Filed under: Rhinella poeppigii (gray toad)
Lineage: Eukaryota; Metazoa; Chordata; Amphibia; Anura; Bufonidae
Description: partial large subunit ribosomal RNA
Rfam family: Bacterial large subunit ribosomal RNA
Source: RNAcentral